RNAcentral lists this long non-coding RNA (775 nucleotides) under Heterocephalus glaber (naked mole-rat). RNAcentral's name for it is "lncRNA (ENSHGLG00100044094.1)". Lineage: Eukaryota; Metazoa; Chordata; Mammalia; Rodentia; Bathyergidae. The record is from RNAcentral.
GUAAGGCGACAUUCAAUUUUGUUUUUAAAGAAAAGAGUAGAAGCUUUACAGGUUGAGGUGGAGGCAGAGAGGAAAGAUUGGAUGUCUAUACAGAGGGUAGGACACACAAAAACCAAGAAGGGCACGGCCAGCGUGGGGCAGGGAAAGAAUCUGUCUGGGAAUGUGGCGCGGCUGUGGGAGGGUGAAACUCAGACUCACUUGGGUCCUGGUGGGGGCUCUCAGCUGAAGCUUGGAUGCACUCCUGUGAGCAAGGGAGAGUCAGCAGAACCUGUGACCAGGGUGGUGGCAUCUGUGGAUCUUUCUGAAGAAAACCCAGGGGGAGAGAGAGGGAACUCAGGUGGAGAUGUGGGUGGGGACAUUCAGGACCUCGGGGAGCCACUGAGUGCCAAGGGAAGAGCUGGAAGGCCAUGGGGAGGGAGGUCAGUUCUGAAACAGUUGAGGUGGAAUCCAGACCCGGCCUGGCAGGCUCAGGAUCCAGGACUUGGAAGAUGGAGGAGGCUCGUUGUGCAGAAGGAAUAACAUUGUGCUGCCGACCCUGUGCCUUCUCCAUCAGCCUCUUACUGAGGUUUGGAAGCCACAAUAAAAUGCAAAUCGGUGGAAGCUUGAAAUUCCCAGUGUUGCCACAAAUGGAGGAUUGCGGUGAUUGUUGAACACAAGUUGAAGAACUCAACUCUAUUGCAAAUAAAAAGACAUCAGCCACAGUGAACCCAGAUAGGGUUCACUUGGUUCACAACCAAGGAUGACAAAUCUGCCAGAGUGGGCACUGUGCCCUGGC